Molecule: long non-coding RNA, 1434 nt
Filed under: Felis catus (domestic cat)
Lineage: Eukaryota; Metazoa; Chordata; Mammalia; Carnivora; Felidae
Description: lncRNA (ENSFCAG00000048539.1)
Source: RNAcentral
GAAAGUUGAGAGGAGACUUGGUCUUUAGAGUUCUUGCUCCCAUCUUUCCUCUUUCGUCAAUUCUCUCAUUUGGUGCCAUGCACACCUUCUUGUAAGAGAGCUCUUCCAGGAUGGUGUCCUAUGAAACCUGUCCUUUCAGAUUAAUUUCCCAUCAUCCAAACUCAGUAACUUGGAUUCCUUUUUUUUCAUUCCUCCUAACUCUCAUUUUCAAUGGUGUCUGACUGCUGAUAGAGAAGAAGUGACUGGAAUAAUUCAUGCUAAGGUGUGAAUGGUCCAUUGCUGACUCAGCUUGUGAUCCCAGCUUUGCAUUCUGAAGGAGUAGCUACUGAACCCAAAUAGAAUCUAAUGGUCAGAGUUAAGGACUUAUUAUUCAGUCAAGUCUGAAUAGUAUACUAUGUCCAAAUAGUAAGCAUAUUUUUCUGCCCUGGCUCCCUUUCUACUGAAUGGAGAUGGUAUUAAUAGGAUACUUUAAAGCUAUGAUUUCCAAACUUCUGAUGGUGCAUAUCUAUCAGAUACAAGAAAAUGAGCACCUACCCAAAUCAUUUAUUGAAUUCACAUACAUAUGUACAAUCACUGCGCCGAUGUGCUGUUUACUGCAAACAUACAAGUUUAAAAGGGUGCGAUAAAACUAAAUAAUACGUUUACACUAUUUUAUUUUAGCUGUAGAAAAUGUAUAUUCUUCUGCUCUCAUUUCAACUUGUGUUUGGAGUACAAGUAGUAAGGAGGAAUAUGCUUCACGCACGUAAAUUACACACGUAAAUCACACACCAAAUGCUGAAAGAAAACAGCCAGUGAGCACCUCCUCUCCGCAUGCUUCACCGUGGGCACUCAGGUCACUUUUCAUGGUUGUCUGUGCCUGUCAGACGUACACAGGAAAGGAGGGGCAGGAAGAUGGGUGAGGGGAUCCGUCUGUACAGUGUUAAUAACGUCUGAUUUUCUUCUUUGAUCAAAAGAGAUAAAAAAGCUGUAAUGGUUUCUUUCUGUAACCCAGUUAAUCAUUAUCGUGGGGGUGCAGUCACUGCUCCGUGUGCCUUCGUUAACACAAGAGCAGGCUCGGAUCCAAGUUUUGUGGAACUUGGGACUGUUACAACUUCUGGGGAAAGGAAACUCUUUAAGAAAAAGAGCACACACACAAAUCUUACUUUUGCAACUUCUUACAAACUCUGUGAUCCUGGCAACACGGUCCUGGGUCCUCCCAGAGUGGCUCUCGGGGUGAUGGGAGAGGAUUCUGGGGGCGGGGGGCCCAGCACCCCCAGCAAGGAGGACGGCCUGCCUCCAGAUCGUUCUCUUCUUACGGGCCUGUCCUCGACGUCUCUCCCGUUUCUCUCUGCGGCUCUCACACGCCCCUCUGCUCGCCUGAACCCGUCCACCCGGACGCCACGCGGGGCCGCCCAGGAGAAAGCAGCGGCAGAAUUCUUUGAAACAAAGACGUAA